RNAcentral lists this ribosomal RNA (253 nucleotides) under uncultured bacterium. Its description in RNAcentral is "partial 16S ribosomal RNA". It matches the Rfam family "Bacterial small subunit ribosomal RNA", at positions 524 to 776 of the family's 1533-position model. The record is from RNAcentral.
GACGAACCGAGCGAACGUUGUUCGGAAUCACUGGGCUUAAAGGGCGCGUAGGCGGGUACUCAAGUCUGUGGUGAAAUCCUCCGGCUCAACCGGAGAACUGCCAUGGAUACUGGGUGUCUCGAGGGUGGUAGGGGUAUGCGGAACUAUCGGUGGAGCGGUGAAAUGCGUUGAUAUCGAUAGGAACUCCGGUGGCGAAGGCGGCAUACUGGACCACUUCUGACGCUGAGGCGCGAAAGCCAGGGGAGCAAACGGG